Molecule: long non-coding RNA, 233 nt
Filed under: Lathyrus oleraceus (garden pea)
Lineage: Eukaryota; Viridiplantae; Streptophyta; Magnoliopsida; Fabales; Fabaceae
Description: Pisum sativum (pea) long non-coding RNA (PSAT_LNC005751)
Source: RNAcentral
UCAUUUGAUACAUGAGAAGACAAAGAAGUCUUCUAGCUAUGGGAUUUGCUUGCUUGGAUGUGGCUAUCUUUAUUUGAUGUCUUGAUCUUCAUGAUGCUUGAUAUUGCUAAUUGCUUGCUGAUUAUUGUUUGAUUCAAAAUCCAAAGGGGAAGUGGGUUUUCUAUACGACAUUCUUGUGUGUUGGAUUGCAUUCCAUUAGUCAGAUCUUUUCAACUCUUAACUUUUAAUUUUAU